RNAcentral lists this ribosomal RNA (328 nucleotides) under uncultured soil bacterium. Its description in RNAcentral is "bacterial SSU rRNA". It matches the Rfam family "Bacterial small subunit ribosomal RNA", at positions 26 to 373 of the family's 1533-position model. The record is from RNAcentral.
AGAACGAACGCUGGCGGCAUGCCUAAUACAUGCAAGUCGAACGAACACUUCGGUGUUAGUGGCGCACGGGUGCGUAACGCGUGGGAAUCUGCCCUUGGGUUCGGAAUAACAGUUGGAAACGACUGCUAAUACCGGAUGAUGACGAAAGUCCAAAGAUUUAUCGCCCAGGGAUGAGCCCGCGUAGGAUUAGCUAGUUGGUGAGGUAAAGGCUCACCAAGGCGACGAUCCUUAGCUAGGUCUGAGAGGAUGAUCAGCCACACGUGGGACCUGAGACGACCGGCCCAGACCUCCGUACGGGAGCAGCCGAGUAGGGAAUAGUUGGACAAGU